CAUCUCCCUCGUACUGACAUUAGUGCAAGCGAGAUGCACUGCGUUUGAGUUGACGUAGUCGCUAGCGUUUAAGGCCGUGUAAAACUCAUGGUGAGGGUACUUGUGCUCAUUUUUUGGUACUGUCAUGUUUAAUGCGGACUCGAACAAGUAGAAAACUCAAGAAGUACUUGUUGGUCAAGCAAAUCUUGUCAGUAGAAAAAGGAGCAAAAAAAAUUUUUUUUUGGGACGAUAUCCCUUCGCGCCUACAUUUUUUAAAUUUACCGCCUUUUUCUACUGACAAGAUUUGCUUGACCGGCUAUAUAUACCUACAUGUAAAUGUAGGUUAUAGAUUUGUAACAUUUGAAAUAAUUGCAUUAUUAUUCAAUAACCAGAAUCAUACAUUGACAGAAUAGUAGAAGUCAUAGCUGUUGCAGUUUUCGCAGAAACUUUAUUGUGAUGUUUCAGUGAUUAUUUUAAUAUUAAAUUGUGAUCGAGAAUAGAUGUUUAAAUGUGUUGAAUAUUUUGACCUCAUAGUUUGUACGUACGUAAGGAUGUCAUAGUGUUGUGCGAGUGUGAUUAGAUUUAAAAAUAAAGUUAUUUAGGGUUGCCAUAUUGAUAAUUAUUUUUUAUACUAUGUAAAACGUUAUUUUUUUAUGUGAGCGUGUAGUUAAAAUGAUUUGUAAAAGGAACAGGACGUUCCAUUUAUUAUACAAAUAAUUGCAUAUUUUGUUGAUUGUAUGGCUAUAAUGUUUUAUACAUAUAAAAAUAGAAUAUUAGAUAUAUUUAUUGCGUCAUGUUAAAGUAUUCGUUAAGUUUCGAUGGCGGAUCUAAUGUAGAAAUAAGAUUGUCCAUUAUUACCAAUUAUAAAUGUUGUUCAGAUUUCCUAAUUUUAAAGUAGGAGUUAAACAUAUGACAAAAAUGUAUACGGUCUUAUUUAAAGAAGAUUUCAGUUAGAACUUCCAUCAAUUUGGUUCCAUAAAUGCUACCAGCUUACAAUGUAAGAUGUAUUGGGGUAAAUCCGAAAGGAAAAAACAUUAAAAAAGUUAUGCAUAAUUCCGAAAAGUGACACUUAAUACAACGGAGUAUGAGUGGUUUUUAAAUGAUUUUCGUGCGUACCCAAUUUCCGAAAUUACCCGAAUGGCAUUAUUUUACAUCGUAUGGGAUAAACAAACAUGUCAACUAAAAGCAAGUAUUGAUUAAAUACUUUUUUAUGAAUAAGGCCGCUUCUCUUUGAAUAUGUGUAAUUUAAGUCAUUGUAGAGAUAUCGAAUAACUUUGACUGCUGUAAAAUAACAACUCAAUAAAUGCGGGAUUCCACCAGUGUGCGGCACAAGAAUAUUCAGUACAAAAAUGCUUGUGUCGCACAGUGCUGCACACUGGUGGAAUCCCAAUGGCAAUGUCAGGAACAUAGUUUGAAAAUGUCUAUAGAAUUUCUUUACAAUACUUUUAUCUAAAUAAUGAAUCACUUGAUCUAAAUCAUGAGAGUAAUUCCGAUUAGUCCCGAUAUUUUAUAAUCUGAGGUCUAGUCUAGCUACACUGUUUAAAAAAUGUUUCUCUAAAAUCUUAGUGUAAGUGAAUUGUCUAUUAUCGUUCGAUGUUACUUUAUGUUGCACAUAUUUUUUCAUUGUACAACGAUGAUUUUAUAUGGCCCGUUUUAAAAACUGGCAAUUUGAUAUAUGGCAACAUCAACAUCCAGGUUCCAUUUUUAAAGUAAUUAUAUAUUUUUUAAAUAUUAAAAUUGGAAUGUGGUUCUUGAUGUGAGACUGAUUUUAAUUUUAUGAAAUAAGACUACCUACGUCAUUACCUACGUUAAUAAAAAGUUAAUCUUGACAAAUUGGUUAUUAACUGUUAUUCUUAACCGUUUUACGGAUAUGAUGAAAUUUUAGUUAAUAAAGCUUUUUUAUUGA
Cydia strobilella is the source of this 1885-nucleotide long non-coding RNA. RefSeq lists it as uncharacterized. The transcript is spliced from 2 exons. The record is from RefSeq and is a predicted model, not a curated record. Lineage: Eukaryota; Metazoa; Arthropoda; Insecta; Lepidoptera; Tortricidae.